GGGGGUAUAGCUCAGUGGUAGAGUGCAUGCUUAGCAUGCAUGAGGUCCUGAGUUCAAGUCCUAGUACUUCUG
This is a transfer RNA of Camelus ferus (Wild Bactrian camel), 72 nucleotides long. It matches the Rfam family "tRNA". Rfam says of the family: Transfer RNA (tRNA) molecules are approximately 80 nucleotides in length. Their secondary structure includes four short double-helical elements and three loops (D, anti-codon, and T loops). Further hydrogen bonds mediate the characteristic L-shaped molecular structure. tRNAs have two regions of fundamental functional importance: the anti-codon, which is responsible for specific mRNA codon recognition, and the 3' end, to which the tRNAs corresponding amino acid is attached (by aminoacyl-tRNA synthetases). tRNAs cope with the degeneracy of the genetic code in two manners: having more than one tRNA (with a specific anti-codon) for a particular amino acid; and 'wobble' base-pairing, i.e. permitting non-standard base-pairing at the 3rd anti-codon position. The record is from Rfam. Lineage: Eukaryota; Metazoa; Chordata; Mammalia; Artiodactyla; Camelidae.